GAUCCUGCUCAGGAUGAACGCUAGCUACAGGCUUAACACAUGCAAGUCGAGGGGCAGCAUGAACUUAGCUUGCUAAGUUUGAUGGCGACCGGCGCACGGGUGAGUAACACGUAUCCAACCUGCCGAUGACUCGGGGAUAGCCUUUCGAAAGAAAGAUUAAUACCCGAUGGCAUAGUUCUUCCGCAUGGUAGAACUAUUAAAGAAUUUCGGUCAUCGAUGGGGAUGCGUUCCAUUAGGUUG
RNAcentral lists this ribosomal RNA (240 nucleotides) under uncultured bacterium. RNAcentral's name for it is "partial 16S ribosomal RNA". It matches the Rfam family "Bacterial small subunit ribosomal RNA", at positions 15 to 248 of the family's 1533-position model. The record is from RNAcentral.